RNA transcript from Triticum aestivum (bread wheat), 7137 nucleotides. It is a transcript of the gene named disease resistance protein PIK6-NP, with no coding region annotated. The record is from RefSeq and is a predicted model, not a curated record. The transcript has 7 exons. Lineage: Eukaryota; Viridiplantae; Streptophyta; Magnoliopsida; Poales; Poaceae.
CCUCUCCAGCCCCACUCCGUCGCCGAGUUUUCCCAUCUCCGCCGCCCUCUCCAGAUCCAGCCACCAACUCUGCCACCCAUCUCCACCAACAGUGUUUGACGUACAAGAACUGUCCAAGAGAAGCGAAAGCCACCGUUCGAGCCAUGGACCUCGCCACGGCGGCCUUGCGCUCCCUCCUCCCCAAGCUGGCCGAGCUCAUCCACGGAGAAUACAAGCUGCAGAAGGGCGUGAAGAAAGAUGUGCAAUUUCUAGAGAGGGAGAUGACGAGCAUAGACGCCGCCCUCCGCAAAGUGGCCAUGGUGCCGCAUGACAAGCUCGACGACAACUCCAAGAUCUGGGCCAAUCAAGUCAGGGAGCUGUCGUACGAGAUGGAGGAUGUCGUUGAAAGCUUCCUGGUGGGCGUCCAGGGCUUCGAGCCCGCCGCUAACCCUGACGGCUUCAAAGGGUUCGUGAAGAAGGUGGCUAACCUGUUCACGAAAGGCAAGGCGCGCCACCAGAUCGCCAAUGCAAUCAAAAGCAUCAAGGACCAGGUCCAGGAGGUGGCGGAUCGACGUGACAGGUACAAGAUUGAUGAUCUUCAGGCAAGUCUAGCUGCUACAACCAUGGUUGAUCCUCGUCUGAUGGCUCAGUUCAAAGAUCACAAAGAGCUUGUUGGCAUCGAGGGGCCAAGAGAUGAGCUAAUCAAGAGGCUGGUAGAUGAAGAUGAUUGUGAGUCCAAGCAGCAGCUGAAGAUACUCUCGAUCUUCGGAUUUGGAGGAGUUGGCAAGACAACUCUUGCCAGAGCAGUUUACGACAAGAUACAAGCACAAUUCGUAUGCAAGGCUUUUUUUUCGGUGGGUCAAAAUCCCAACCUGAAGAAUGUUCUCAUAGGUAUUCUCCUCCGACUUGACAAAGACACUUGUUCCAAUCCGACAAUGUUAGAUGAUGUGCUGCUCAUUGAAAAACUCCGAGGGCUGCUUGGGAACAAGAGGUACCUCAUCAUCAUUGAUGAUAUAUGGGAUAUGAGUUCAUGGGAUAUAAUCAAAUGUGCUUUUAUUGAUAGCAAGUGUGAAAGCAGGGUAAUCAUAACUACUCGUAUCUUUGAAGUGGCGAAAGAGGCAAGUGAUAUUUACAAGCAAGAACCUCUUUCUCCUGGUAGAUCGAAGGAAUUGUUCUGUAUGAGAUUAUCUAUUGGCAAAAGCAAAAGCCCUUAUCAUGAAUCGGUUAAGAUAUCUGAGAAGAUAUUGCAGAAAUGUGGUGGUAUACCGCUAGCUAUCAUUACAAUAGCUAGCUUGUUGGCUAGUAAACCAGUAACAGAUUGGCCUGGGGUCUAUGACUCUAUUGGUUUUGGGAAUGAAGAUAACAAAGAAGUGGAUACCACAAGAAAGAUAUUGCUAUAUAGCUACUAUGAUCUUCCAUAUUAUCCACGGCUUUGCCUAUUGCACCUAGGUAUAUACCCCGAAGAUUUUGAGAUCAGAAAAGACAAUUUAAUUUGGAAGUGGGUGGCUGAAGGAUAUGUGCAUGAGGAACCAGGAAAAGGAUUAUUUGAGGUUGGAGAGAGAUACUUCAACUUGCUCAUAGAUAGAAGUAUGAUCCAGGCAGUAGAGAAGCCAUAUUACAGCAUAAUAUAUGCUUGUCAUGUGCAUGAUUUGGUGCUUGAUAUGAUUCAUUUUCUAUCAGAAGACGAAGGUUUUGUUACUGCAUCGAACAGUAACAGGACAUCUCUGUGCAUCACUGCUCGUAGGUUAGCCAUAAAUAGUGAAGCCAUAGAGCAGAAUGGAUAUGUGGCUAACUCGAGCAUGCAGCAAGUGAGGUCAUAUAAUGCCACCAUGUGUCAAUUUAGUAUGUUGCCAUUGCUUUCAAACUUUAAAGCUCUGCGUGUGUUGGCUUUAGAAGAGUGCACUUUCAUGGGAAGUGAGCAAUUCUCUAUGAAGCCCGAAGAUUCUCCUUAUCAUCUCAAGCAUCUUGAGAGGCUGAUUCACCUGAGGUACCUUGGAAUAUCGGACCAGCUUGAGAGCUUAGAGGUCCCUGAAGAAAUUGGGGACCUAAGGUUUUUGCAGGUACUGGACUUGGGCAGAAGUGGCAUAAAAAAACUGCCUCAAAGUGUUGGUCGGCUAACACAAUUGAAGUGCCUGCACUUUGGCGGUUCUAGCAUGGGGGUGUUGGACUGGACGAAUCUAACAUCUCUGGAAGCGCUACAGUUGCACCAUGUCUCUCCAGACUUUCUGAAAGAGCUGGGCAAGCUGAAGGAGCUGAGAGAGUUGAACCUAUACUUUGAAGAGGACGAUAAUAUGUUGUUCAAAGAUUUGGUGGGACGUGUUGCCAAUCUGCAAAAACUUCAAGUCAUAAGGGUUACUUGUUGGUAUCAAGAGGAUCCUGAGCUGUGGUCUGAUUACGCUGGCCCUGUGGCCCUUGGGCACCUGCGUCAUCUAACACUGCAUGCCCUGCUUCCUGUGCUGCCAGUGUGGAUUAACUCCUCAUGCCUCCCGAACCUCUGCCACUUGGAUAUGAACCUGAUAGCUAUGGAGUCGCAGGAUAUGGAGAUCCUCGGGUGGUUCUCAGAGCUCAUUACUCUAUGCAUUCAUUGCGAUGAUGGCGUUGUUUUUCCUGACACCAUGGAGGAGGGUGCAUUUCCCAAGUUGAGAUACUUGAAUCUGGAAAAUUCUGACCAACCCAGAUUUGUACGGGGAGCAAUGUCCAGCCUUGAGUAUAUUGAGUUCAUUGGCCUGGUACCGACCUAUGGCUUGGACUUUCAUAGCCUGGUGAACCUCCCUCGUCUUGAGAAAGUUGAUGUUGAAAUCGAUGGCAAAACUGCCAUGGGUAUCGACGUGCUGCAGGCACAUGCGUCGUUGAAGCAAGCGGUUGAGAUCCAUCCCAACCAUCCCGCACUCAAUGUACGUACUGACAUCAUUCGAGCCAUGGACCUUGCGACGGUGGCCAUGGGCUCCCUCCUCCCCAAGUUAUUCGAGCUCCUCCACGGAGAAUACAAGCUGCAAAUGGGCGUGAAGAAAGAUGUAGAAUUUCUCGAGAGGGAGAUGAGGAGCAUAGACGCCGCACUCCGCAAAGUGGCCAUGGUGCCGCGUGACAAGCUCGAUGACAACUCCAAGAUCUGGGCCGGUGAUGUUAGGGAGCUGGCAUACGAGAUGGAGGAUGUCGUUGAACGCUUCAUGGUGGGCGUCCACGGCUUUGAACCAGCUGCUAACCAAGACAGCUUCAAAGGGUUCGUGAAGAAGGUGUCCAACUUGUUCACAGAAGGCAAGACCCGACACCAGAUCGCUAAUGCGAUCAAGGCCAUCAAGGAUCAGAUUCAGGAGGUGACGGAUCAGCGUGACUGGUACAAGAUUGAUGAUGUUGAGGCAAGUCUAGCUGCUACAACCAUUGUUGACCCUCGGCUGAUGGCUCAGUUCAAAGAUCAGAGAGAGCUUGUUGGCAUCGAGGAGCCAAGGGACGAGCUAAUCAAGAGACUGGCAAAUGGAGAUGACUUUGUGUCCAAGCAGCAGCUCAAGAUACUCUCAAUUUUUGGAUCUGGAGGACUUGGCAAGACAACUCUUGCCAAAGCAGUUUAUAAUAAGUUGCAAACGGAAUUUGAAUGCAAGGCUUUUUAUUUGGUGGGUCAAAAUCCUAACCUGGAGAAUGUUCUCAUGGGUAUUUUCAGCCAAGUCGACAAAGCCUCUUGUUCCAAUGCAACAAUCUUGGAUGUGCGCCUUCUUAUUAUUAAACUCCGAGAGCUGCUUGUGAACAAGAGGUACCUCAUCGUCAUUGAUGAUAUAUGGGAUAUGGGUUUAUGGGAUCUAAUCAAAUGUGCUUUCAUUGAUAGUAAAUGCGGAAGUAGAGUAAUCACAACUACUCGUAUUUAUGAAGUGGCAAAAGCGGCACGUGACAUUUACUGCUUAGAAGCCCUUUCUCCUGGUAAAUCAAAGGAAUUGUUCAGUUUGAGAUUAUCUGUUGGUAAAAGCAAAAACCCUUGUGAUCCACCGGUUAAGAUAUCUGAAAAGAUAUUGCAGAAAUGUGGUGGGAUACCGCUAGCUAUCAUUACAAUAGCUAGCUUAUUGGCUAGUAAACCAGUAACAGAUUGGUCAGAGGUGUAUGACUCCAUUGGUUUUGGGAAUGAAGAUAACCAAGAAGUGUAUAACACAAGAAAGAUAUUGCUACAUAGCUACUAUGAUCUUCCAUAUUAUCCACGGAUAUGCUUAUUACACUUAAGCAUAUACCCUGAAUAUUAUGAGAUAGAUAAAGACAUUUUAAUAUGGAAGUGGGUAGCCGAAGGAUAUGUCCCUGAGGAACCAGGAAAAGGGCUAUUUGAGGUUGGAGAGAGAUACUUCAACAUGCUCAUAGAUAGAAGUAUGAUCCAGGCAGUAGAGUAUCCAUAUCAUAGCAUCAUAUAUGCUUGCCGUGUGCAUGAUUUGGUCCUUGAUAUGAUCCAUUUUGUGUCAAAGGAAGAAAGUGCUGUUACUUUCGUGAAGAGUAAUAGGAAACUCACAUCUUCGCAUAGCACCACUCGUAGGUUAGCCAUACAAAAUGAGCAGGAUGGAUCUGUGGCUAACAUGAGCAUGCAUCAAGUGAGGUCAUAUAAUGCCACCAUGUGUCAUUUCAGCAUGUUGCCAUUGCUUUCAAACUUUAAAGCUCUACGUGUGUUGGCUUUAGAAGAGUGCACUUUCAUGGGAAGUGAGCAAUUCUCUAUGAAGCCCGAAGAUUCUCCUUAUCAUCUCAAGCAUCUUGAGAGGCUGAUUCACCUGAGGUACCUUGGAAUAUCGGACCAGCUUGAGAGCUUAGAGGUCCCUGAAGAAAUUGGGGACCUAAGGUUUUUGCAGGUACUGGACUUGGGCAGAAGUGGCAUAAAAAAACUGCCUCAAAGUGUUGGUCGGCUAACACAACUAAAGUGCCUGCGCUUUCCUGGUUCUAGCAUGGAGGUGUUGGACUGCACGAAUCUAACAUCCCUGGAAGAGCUAAAAUUGCACACUGUCUCUACAGACUUUCUGAAGGGGCUGGGCAAGCUGAAGGAGAUGAGAGUGUUCGAAGUACUCUUUGAGGACCAUGAUAAUAUGUUGUUCAAAGAUUUGAUGGGAAAUCUUGCCAAUCUGCAAAAACUUCAAGUCAUAAUGGUUGAUUGUUGGAGUCGAGAUUGUAAGCAGUGGUCUGGUUACGCGGGCUCUGUGGCCCUUGGCCACCUCCGUCAUCUGACAGUGCAUGGCCUGCUUCCUGGGCUGCCAGUGUGGAUUAACACCUCAUGCCUCCCGAACCUCUGCCACUUGAAUAUGAAAUUGAAGGCUAUGGAACCGCAGGAUAUGGAGAUCCUCGGGAGGUUCUCAGAGCUCAUUACACUACGCAUUCGUUGCAAGGAUGGCGUUGUUUUUCCUGACACCAUGGAGGAGGGUGCAUUCCCCAAGUUGAGAUACCUGGAACUGGAAAAUUCUAACCAACCCAGAUUUGUACGGGGAGCAAUGUCCAGCCUUGAGUGUUUUGAGUUCAUCGGCCUGGUAGGGACCAAUGGCUUGGACUUUCAUAGCCUGAUGAACCUCCCUCGUCUCGAGAAAGUUGACGCUGAAAUCGAAGGAAAAACUGGCAUGGAUACCGACGUGCAGCAGGCACGUGCAUCGUUGAAGCAUGCAGUUGAGAUCCAUCCCAACCAUCCAACACUCAAUAUUCGCGGUAGGCAAAUGGAUGAUUGAGCAUGCAGUUGAGAUUCAUCCCAACCGUCUCGCACUCAAUGUACCAUUAUCUUGAUAUGAUGGCCAAGUUCUCUUCCAAUAUUACCGUUCCAUAGCCAAGAUCGAUCAAAGUCCAUGGAGAAAACAAAUAAAAAAACUAGGGCAAAAUAAAUUGUACUAGUCAAACAGGUUAGAGAGAACAUAUACAAGAGAGAGAAGAUCUGGCAACGUAAUAUAAUUACCACAAUUUUUGGGCUAUAGUUGUUGUCAUUGUGGAUCUGCAGCGGCCGAAGCGUCGAGCGACACGAAUAGAGGAGAGUCAAGCAGGAGAGAUGUGAAUCUUUCCCUUAUUUUUUUUAAUUUAAUAAUAAAGCAGCUAAUGCUUCUGGUCGUCCGUUAUUAGUACUUUUGCAUAAAAGCUCCUGAAGUUCGUAUGAAUCAACCCGCAGUCCUGACGAGGUCAACCCGAAGAGGAUAGAAAAAAAAACUCCAAAUCGCAUCACCGUCUCCAGCGUGCCGCUACCCCCUGCCGCGAGCCGACGCCCUCAGCCCCGCCGCAGCGCGCCGCCACUGCCUACCCCGUCGGGACUCCUACCCCUACCCCAACUGCCCCCCACGCCUGCGGCGUUCUACCGUCGGCGACACUCGACGCCGCGGCCGUUGCCGGCUCCCACACCCGCGGGCCUCCGUCUCCCCUGCCGCCGCCGCCGCCCCGCUUGUCUAGCGGGCCGGCCCCGUCCAUGGGGCGCAGGGGCUACCAGCACCCUCCCACGCCCGUGCGCGCCUCCUUCUGCCCUUCCGCCACGGACGGCGCCGCGUCCUGCAGUUUCCACGGAUACGUCCUCCACCCUGACCGACUUCUCUGAGCCUAAUGCGAUCCCGGUGGUGGCCGCGCCCUGCUCGGCCCGCCGUCCUGCCGUGGCGGGCGCCUGUCGUCGGAGCUCUGGUCGUUGGUUCCAGAGUCAGGCGGUUUCACACGGGGGGCGCCUAUCCCGCUGUGCCACCGAUCACUUAAUUCGGCUCUCUCGACUGGUGCAUAAUAUGCUUAAUUAUGUUGUGAUUUUUCUGUACCAAUGAAUGAUCCGGAUUCUGAAAAGGAGAAGAAAGCCUCAGGGGCAGAGUAUUCAGGAGGACACCAAUCCAAAUCUAUGGUGUUUGAGGCAGCUUGAAAGAAGGUUUGCUGCAGGGAAGAGAUAGAAAGAGCGAAAUAGAGAGGGCAGGGGCGUGAUCUGUUGUGAUUGGAUCAGCGAACCUUCUCUGUAGUUUAGGAUUUGAUCAGUUCGAGGAACGUGGUAUGUCCCUAGCAAAAUUCUUUCACCUUAUUAAUCUUCUGCGUUCUUUAGCAGUGCGCUGGUCCAUGCAGUAUCAUCAGAGUCAUGGAUCUUUGACAGAAUGUAACGCAUGGGCAGUAUAGUAUUCUCUCAUGUUAUGUGAACCCUCAGAUACCUUUUCAUGAGACUGAACCCAACUGUUCCCGAAUUUCUUAUGUGUUUGUGUAUACGAUGGUACA